This is a long non-coding RNA of Silurus meridionalis, 1451 nucleotides long. RefSeq lists it as uncharacterized. The transcript is spliced from 6 exons. The record is from RefSeq and is a predicted model, not a curated record. NCBI's taxonomy places the organism in Eukaryota, Metazoa, Chordata, Actinopteri, Siluriformes, Siluridae.
UAAAGUUCCCCACUUUUGUCUCAGUUUCUUUGCUUGAUCUUUAGAGAUGUGUGGUUUGUUUCCCUUGUUUGUUUUCAUGAUGUGAGGUCUCCUGCCAUAAUUGUUCCUGAGUUUGGUUAGGUGCUGUGGUGGAGAACAGAUGGUGCGCAUCAGUGAGAAGACUCCUGUGUGUGCUAUUGUUCACCUUCAUAAUGGAGAAAAAGUCCUCACACAGGGCCAGAUGGUCGGACCGGGAGAAUGCCCUCUCACAGAGGUGGCACUGGAAGGGCCUGUGUCCUGUGUGUUUCCUGUAGUGGCGGGUCAGCUCGUCGGAACGGGCGAACUUCCAGCCACAUCCCUCCCAGGUACAGUGGUACGGCUUCUCACCUGAAGAAAGCAGAAGGAUUUCAGCAUGUUUCUCGUCCAAAACCUGAAUGCUGGAAAAGCCAGCAAUGGACGGCAGAAGCGCAUCUGCCAGAGCCAUCCUUUUACGCACAAACCUCAAGGAAUUCAACAAGUUUACUUUCUCAUCCGGGCACGAGUUGACACCAUUGAGCUGUAAAGUAACCUGCUUUUCCUCUUUCAUUUAUCACUGCAGUGGAAUGCCUGAAUGAAGGUGGUCGCACAUUUUCCAGCACCUUGUCCAGUUUGACUAAUUGGUGUGUCUGGGCUAAUCUACAGGCUCCAGAGUAGUAAUUAUCCCCCAUCUUGCAAGAAGCAGGGGAAAUCCACAGCUAUCUAAUACAAAUUUGCUUCCUCGCAUGAUGUGAAAAAGCAACAUGGAGACGGCACCUUUGCUAAUGCAUCAAACGAGAACAAGCAAAGACAGAAUGGGAGCGGCAAACCAAUCAGUCCUGGACGACCAUGGGAAAUGAAAAAGCAAAAAGUGGUGGCCUUGAUUUGUAAUCAGAACUCCUGCAUUUCCUGUCGCAGAAAUCCAUACAGGAUUUAGUUAAACAGUCUGUCUUGCUGCACGUAAGCUGAGAAUGAGGAAUGUUUUGGAAGCAUUGCAAGAAAUUCCAAACUCAGUUCCAAACUCCAAGCUGAUUUUGACUUACGAGAUGUGCCAAUUGGACUUUUUCCCAAACACAAAAAAGAAUAAUAUUUGUUGUGCUGUAUCUGUAUUUUUUAGAACACAAGUUGUAUUUAGAGGGAAAUCAUAUGAAGCAGCACAUGUUGCACUGAUAGAAGACCCUUAAGGGUUCUUUAAUUGUACUACUAAAGGAUUUAUCUAGAAUCAGUUAGCCGAAUGUUUUAUAAUUCAAAAGUUUUGAAAGCUGAAGAACACUGAACUAUCCCAAGAAAUAUUGAGGAACCAUUUUAAUUAAUGUUCACUUCCUAUAUUUAGCAUGUCUACAACUAAGAUUAAAAAAGCCUGGCGCCCUUGGCUGUGGUUCAGUUUCUCUUAACGCUUUCCACAUCUUUUUAGUAUUGUCGAGUUGUAAUAAAGGUGUCUGGACUUGUCCCAUAAA